CUACGGGUGGCACCAGUGAGGAAUAUUGGUCAAUGGCCGAGAGGCUGAACCAGCCAUCCCGCGUGCAGGAUGACGGCCCUAUGGGUUGUAAACUGCUUUUCUACGCCAAGAAAUCUGAUUACGUGUAAUUAGUUGACGGUAGCGUAGGAAUAAGCAUCGGCUAACUGCGUGCCAGCAGCCGCGGUAAUACGGAGGAUGCAAGCGUUAUCCGGAUUCAUUGGGUUUAAAGGGUGCGCAGGCGGGCUUGUAAGUCAGUGGUGAAAUACUGCCGCUUAACGGUAGAACUGCCAUUGAUACUGCAAGUCUUGAAUAUGGUUGAGGUAGGCGGAAUGUGUUGUGUAGCGGUGAAAUGCAUAGAUAUGACACAGAACGCCGAUUGCGAAGGCAGCUUACUAAGCCAUUAUUGACGCUGAGGCACGAAAGCGUGGGGAGCGAACAGGAUUAGAUACCCUCGUAGUC
RNAcentral lists this ribosomal RNA (459 nucleotides) under uncultured bacterium. Its description in RNAcentral is "partial 16S ribosomal RNA". It matches the Rfam family "Bacterial small subunit ribosomal RNA", at positions 339 to 795 of the family's 1533-position model. The record is from RNAcentral.